RNAcentral lists this ribosomal RNA (253 nucleotides) under uncultured bacterium. Its description in RNAcentral is "partial 16S ribosomal RNA". It matches the Rfam family "Bacterial small subunit ribosomal RNA", at positions 524 to 776 of the family's 1533-position model. The record is from RNAcentral.
UACAGAGGGGGCGAGCGUUGUUCGGAAUUACUGGGCGUAAAGGGCGCGUAGGCGGCCCGCUAAGUCGAACGUGAAAUCCCCGGGCUUAACCUGGGAAUGGCGAUGGAGACUGCAAGGCUAGAGUUUGGCAGAGGGGGGUAGAAUUCCACGUGUAGCAGUGAAAUGCGUAGAGAUGUGGAGGAACACCGAUGGCGAAGGCAGCCCCCUGGGUCAAAACUGACGCUCAUGCACGAAAGCGUGGGGAGCAAACAGG